AGUGAACGCUGGCGGUAGGCCUAACACAUGCAAGUCGAACUGCAGCACAGUAAGAGCUUGCUCUUACGGGUGGCGAGUGGCGGACGGGUGAGGAAUACAUCGGAAUCUACUUUUUCGUGGGGGAUAACGUAGGGAAACUUACGCUAAUACCGCAUACGACCUACGGGUGAAAGCAGGGGAUCUUCGUACCUUGCGCGAUUGAAUGAGCCGCUGUCGUAUUAGCUAGUUGGCGGGGUAAAGGCCCACCAAGGCGACGAUCCGUAGCUGGUCUGAGAGGAUGAGCAGAAAAAAUGGAAAUGAGACAAGGGCAAGACUCAGACGGGAGGCAGCAGGGGGGAAGAUGGGAGAAGGGGAGCAAGCCGGAUCAAGCAAUAGCGGGGGGGGGAAGAAGGCAGUCGGGUAGUAAAGACCUAUGGUUGGGAAAGAAAAGCAGCAGGAGAAGAACGCGCUGUUAUGAAGGUACCAAAAGAAUAAGCACCGGAUAACUUCGUG
RNAcentral lists this ribosomal RNA (492 nucleotides) under uncultured bacterium. RNAcentral describes it as "partial 16S ribosomal RNA". It matches the Rfam family "Bacterial small subunit ribosomal RNA", at positions 30 to 507 of the family's 1533-position model. The record is from RNAcentral.